Molecule: ribosomal RNA, 372 nt
Filed under: uncultured organism
Description: partial 16S ribosomal RNA
Rfam family: Bacterial small subunit ribosomal RNA
Source: RNAcentral
GUAGGGUGCGAGCGUUAAUCGGAAUUACUGGGCGUAAAGCGUGCGCAGGCGGGUUCGCUAAGACCGAUGUGAAAUCCCCGGGGCUUAACCUGGGAACUGCAUUGGUGACUGGCGGGCUAGAGUAUGGCAGAGGGGGGUAGAAUUCCACGUGUAGCAGUGAAAUGCGUAGAGAUGUGGAGGAAUACCGACGGCGAAGGCAGCCCCCUGGGCCAAUACUGACGCUCAUGCACGAAAGCGUGGGGAGCAAACAGGAUUAGAUACCCUGGUAGUCCACGCCCUAAACGAUGUCAACUAGUUGUCGGGUCUUCAUUGACUUGGUAACGUAGCUAACGCGUGAAGUUGACCGCCUGGGGAGUACGGUCGCAAAGAUUA